Molecule: ribosomal RNA, 480 nt
Filed under: uncultured Aquibacillus sp.
Lineage: Bacteria; Bacillati; Bacillota; Bacilli; Caryophanales; Bacillaceae
Description: bacterial SSU rRNA
Rfam family: Bacterial small subunit ribosomal RNA
Source: RNAcentral
GGGAGGCAGCAGUAGGGAAUCUUUCGCAAUGGACGAAAGUCUGACGGAGCAACACCGCGUGAACGAUGAAGGUUUUCGGAUCGUAAAGUUCUGUUGUUAGGGAAGAACAAGUACCGUUCGAAUAGGGCGGUACCUUGACGGUACCUAACGAGAAAGCCCCGGCUAACUACGUGCCAGCAGCCGCGGUAAUACGUAGGGGGCAAGCGUUGUCCGGAAUUAUUGGGCGUAAAGCGCGCGCAGGUGGUUCCUUAAGUUUGAUGUGAAAGCCCACGGCUCAACCGUGGAGGGUCAUUGGAAACUGGGGAACUUGAGUGCAGGAGAGGAAAGUGGAAUUCCACGUGUAGCGGUGAAAUGCGUAGAGAUGUGGAGGAACACCAGUGGCGAAGGCGACUUUCUGGCCUGUAACUGACACUGAGGCGCGAAAGCGUGGGGAGCAAACAGGAUUAGAUACCCUGGUAGUCCACGCCGUAAACGAUGAGU